This is an RNA transcript of Xenopus laevis (African clawed frog), 5891 nucleotides long. It is a transcript of the gene named regulation of nuclear pre-mRNA domain containing 2 S homeolog, with no coding region annotated. The record is from RefSeq and is a predicted model, not a curated record. The transcript has 13 exons. NCBI's taxonomy places the organism in Eukaryota, Metazoa, Chordata, Amphibia, Anura, Pipidae.
AGCCCCUCCCCCUAUGAAGGCGGACGAGUUCUAGAAGCAGACCUCUGCCUCGUGGGCGCGCGCGCGCGCCGAAUUUCCAGUCGCAUUUGGUGACGCCAUUUUUAUAUAUUAAUACAUAGAGACCUUUUAUUAUUUUCCCUCUCAGAUUAAGGCGGCGAGGAGCUCGCGUGGACUCGGUUACCUCAAGUUACAGCCGGAUUUCCGCCAGCGAAUCCUCAUGGUGUGGGGUUGAGACUGCUGGUUGCUACGCGAACACCUCCCCCUUCAGUUUAUCUCCCUCUCCUCGCGGCCGCGGGGGAUCGUGGGUAAACAUGGCGGCGGGCGGCAGCAGCAACAAGGCCUCUGUGGGGACCCUGGAAGCGUCUCUGGACCGAAAACUACAGUCCGUCAGCAACACCAUGGACUCCAUCCAAAACAUGUCCUCCUGGUGCAUCGACAACAAGAAACACUACAACACCGUCGUGCAGCAUUGGCUCAAGUGGUUGCGCAGAUCUGGAUUCAGUCACAGACUUAACCUGUUUUACCUGGCAAACGACAUCAUUCAGAACUGCAAAAGGAAAAAUGCCAUUGUGUAUCGGGAGGCAUUUGCAGAAGUUUUACCUGAGGCUGCUUCUCUAGUAAAGGAUGGAUCUGUAUCAAAAUCUGUGGAGAGAAUUUUUAAGAUCUGGGAAGAGAGAAAUAUUUACCAAGAGGAUUUAAUCACAUCUUUAAAAUCUGGUUUAAGAGAUGGAAAUUCAGGAAAACGAAACAGAAGCUCUCGUCCUAAACCAGAAAAAGUACAAGAAGCUCCUCCUGUAACUCCAAAAGCUGCAUUAAAAUCGAAGAUUGUGGCUGAAUUUAGGCCGCAGAAGCUAAUUGACGAUCUGCAGGGAUAUAAGCGUUCGGUAGAUAAUGCUGAACUUAAGGAAAAACAGCUUUCAAACAUGAGAGUUGACGUCUGCAGCACCGAGACUCUGAAACGUUUAAAAGAUAAAGCUGGAGGAAAAAGGUUCUCUAAAGAUUUUGAAGAAGCAAGUGCAAAGCUGGAGGAGUUUGUAGGUGUCCUCGAAAAGCAGGUGAGGAAUGGGCCUCCUUUAACAGAAGCACUGGAAAAUGCUGGCAUAUUCUAUGAAGCACAGUACAGAGAAGUCAAGGUGGUGGUAAAUGCUUACAAGACAUUUGCUAACAGAGUUAACAAUUUAAAGAAAAAGCUGGAUCAGUUGAAAGCUACACUACCAGAUCCUGAGGAAUCUCCAUUGCCAUCUCCCACCAUAGAUGCCCCAUCUCCAACAGGCUCCGAGUCACCAUUCCAAGGGAUGGGUGAUAUAUCCCCUUUGUCACCUGAGAUAGAACCCAUCCCACCUAUAUCGCCAGAGCCUCCAAAGGAUAAUCGCAUGGUAGAGGACAUGGAGUUAUCUGAUGUGGAUGCAGAUGAAGAAGUACCCAAAAUUAUCGUUGAAGAAAGAAAAGAGGCCCAAACUCCAUCUACUUUGGCCACUGUCACAGAUGCUGCAACUACGUCUUCCACAGAAAUGACCAACUUCACUACUGCUGCAUCUAAACCAGCAUCUGUUCCAGCUAGUCUUCCGACGCCUGCUGCAGUCUCUGUUGGCACACCUGUUUCUGCACCAGCUCCUGCUGUUUCAGCACCUGCAAAAACAGUAACCACUCCCACCGUUGCCCCAUCAGUUCCCCUGGCAUUGCCAAAUCUUGCCAAUGUAGAUCUGGGGAAGAUUAGUUCCAUCUUAAGUAGCUUAACUUCUGUUAUGAAGACAACAGUGAGCCCAGCAGCCAAACCAUCUCCUGGAACACCAACAACACCAACUUCCAGUUCUGGACUGAAGAACCCUGUGCAGAUCCCGCAAAAUCCUUUGGCUAAUAUUUUGUCUAAAGUUGAGAUAACACCAGAAAGUAUACUUUCUGUGCUGUCCAAAUCUCAAGGUCCUUCCACAUCAUCAUUGCAAGGUUUGUCAUCUUUGAUUCAAAGUGUGGCUGGAAGCACUGCUCAGUCAAGUGGAGCCUUGCCUCACAGCACUACAACAGCACCAAUCAACAGUACUGUUUCAAUUAUGAAAGAUCGUAAUGCUCCAUCUGUUACUCCUCCUUUUGUGUCUAAAAAUGUCGAUUUCUCUCCUACUCCCACAAAUUCAGAAAUUUCUUCUGUGUCUCUGUCCAAGACAUCUGCAGGGCAUAGUUCAAAUUUAAAGCAGCCAUCUAAUGUUCAAGGAUUAGCAACACAAACCCCUUUAUCGACCGAUAAAAGCACAAGUCAGCCAACUGAAAUACCUAAGCCUGCUAGCGAGGCUGAAUCGUCUAGUCUGGAACUGAAGAUUCACAAUUUUUUAAAGGGUAAUCCAGGCUUUAGUGGACUGGAUCUGAACAUCCCCAUUCUUAGUGGCUUGAGUUCCAAUACAGUUUCUGAACCCACCUCUGAAUUUCAGCGUGGUCCUUCCAGCACUACCAUUGAUAAUGUAGAUGGAACUCCAGUUCGCGAUGAAAGAAGUGGAACUCCAACGCAGGAUGAGAUGAUGGAUAAACCAGCUGCAAGCAGUGUUGAUACUGUUUCCUUGUUAUCAAAAAUAAUAAGUCCAGGCUCAUCUACCCCUAGUAGCACAAGAUCCCCCCUUCUGAAUAAGGAUACAGACUUUCAAAAGCUAGGCAAUAUGCCACCUUAUCGAUCAUUUGGUGUUGGAGGAAACUCACCAAAUGCAUAUUUGCAGCCACCAGAUAGUCGAGGUAAUCCUGCAUUUAUUGAUUCUUCUCUGGAAAAAUUUUAUCCUGAUGUUUCUUUUCAAGAGGAUGAAGACUAUCGUGACUUUGAAUAUUCCGGACCCCCACCAUCUACAAUAGGUAAUCUUGACAAAAGACCCUCAAAAUCCAUCUUAACACCUAUAUUCAGUCAGUCCCAAGAUUUCGGCAGGCAGUCCUUUCCUGCCUUACGAUCUACUUUCAACACUAGUGAAAGCAAUGCUCAAUUGUCCCCAUCUACUCAACUUUAUGAAACAUAUAACAGCUUAAGUAAACUUGAGGCUCCGAAAUCUCCAUCAACCCCAAAGAAUGACCAAUUUUUCCCCUCUGACAGUCAUAAUUUGCAUUCUGGCAUAUCACAAACUCAAUUUGCAGAUUCUCCCCAUACUCUUCAAAAUAGAUCCCAUGCUUUUACAAAUAAGAAUACUAUUCCUCCUUCAAUUUGUAGAGCACCAAUGACAAAUAUGGAGCAAACAGACACUGAUGUGUCUGCUACUUCAACAAUGGAAUUUAAAAACAUGCUUAAAAAUGCAUCUCGCAGGCCUUCUGAUGAGAACAAAUUUGGCCACUCGGGCAAAAGCAAUUUUAAUGAAGAUGUGAGCAUUUCCAGCCUUGGUCAUACUGGUAUGACUUCUGAAGAGAGACAGCUAAAGGAGGAGCAUUAUCACAUAGAAACAAGGGUGUCCUCUUGUGUUGACUUACCUGACAGUGCAGAAGAAAAAGGUGCUCCAAUUGAGACCCUGGGAUAUCAUAAUUCUCGUAACAUGAGGGUUUCAGGGGAACCUAUAAAAACUGUAGAGUCAGUAAGAGUUGGAGUAAAGGGGAACAGAGGACUUGGUAUAGAUGGAGGUAGAGGAGCUUGGUUUAGCAGAGGUAGUCCUUUUAAUGACGGCCCAUCCAGUGCUGCUGCUGAUCCGUCAGUUAGUGGCAGCAGUGGGGUAGGGGGGUUUGAAACACGGUAUGAUGAGCUCUUACCACAGUUUCAGGACACUGUUAGUGACUUUAGAUCAAAAACUAUGCAGGCCUUUGAGCAUCGCUUACCACCGCCUCUGUUACCACCAUCCAUGGUACCUCCUUUAGAUCGAGGAGGACCAUUUCAAAAUGAGCCUGCUGGCCUUCCAUCUGUACCACCACCUGGUUUACCACCUGAUCGGUUUCCUAGAGACAUCCCUGUUCCUCCACAUAUGCCUCCUGUAGAGCCUAUGUUGUCUCGUGGUACUCACCCUCCACCCAAUGAACAUGGAGGCAAUCCCUUCUCUGGACUUCCACAUUCGGAACAUGGAGCAAAUCCUUUUUCUGGACCCCCACCUCCAGAACAUGGAAUAAAUCCUUUUUCUGGGCCUCUUCCUCCUCGAGACCAAAUUGGCAUGCCAUUUUCCUCUCCGCCAUCUUUAGAGAUGCGGAAUCCUUUUUCACCGGACCAUGGAAACAUUCAUCAAGGAACAAUGAAAGAUCAUUAUGGUUUGGGCCCAGGACUACAGAGAGACCUUGGAGCUUUGAUUCAUGAUCACAAUGGCCCAAUGCUUGCUAGAUUAAAUGAAACACCAGCUCCCCAUUCUAGAGACCAUCUUGGAAACUUUAGUGCUCCUCCACAUCAUUUUAAUGCACCACAUCAUAGAGACAGUGGCCUCAGAUCGCAGCGACAACAAUUUAGGCCCAGGGAACAAUAUCAAAGCUUAAAAAGGCCAAGGCCACCUUUUGCACGAGGUCCGCAUUUUUUUGCCCCAAAACGUCCCUUCUACCCCCCAAGGUACUGAUUCAAAAUUGUCAUCAGCCUGCAUUGCUAUUGGUCCACAUUGGCUAUUAUUUGGUCAGGGAGUUUUGUGUUAGUUGAAAAUAGCUUAAACCUGGAAAGCAGACUACACAUUUUUCCUGGUGUAAGGCCACAGAUAUAAAGUCAAUUUACAAAAAAAGGUUGACUUUUUAGUGGAGGAGUUUUUGUAUGUAGGAGACGCUCAUCCUUUUGCCCACUAUACCAUUCUGAUGUCAACUCCAUCAAGCAGUCAACAGUUGGGUGAAUAUGGCAGUUGUCCUGAAGUGAAAUCUGACGCCUAAAUUCAUGUCUGAGACACAGUAUGGAGCCAGUGAACUGUUUCAUCUGCUCAGUUCUCAACACCUCUGAAGCCUAUCCUGAAUCAACCCUUUGCUUUCUUAUAUCCAGAUAGGUCUGCCCUGGAAGCCAAAGGCCUGCAGUUCUGACUGAUUUCCAGUUGCUGUUAAGAGUGACCUAUGCUUUACUGAACUAUUAUAGGAAAAGGAAUGGAACAUCCCCAUUCCAUACAGAAUCCUGAAAUGGACUGGAUAAUGUAAAGAAUUUUUUAUUGUUUUCCCAAAUAUUUAAAGAAAUAUUAAAUUUAAAUAUCCUUUAAUUUGUUGGUAAACUCAUCCGUCAUGAUAUACAGGUUUGUGUGCAAUAUAAUGAAAACAUAUUGACCCAGUUUGAAUUGUCUGUGGGCACUAAACUGAACACGGAGAAAAAGCAAGAAAAGCAGAGUAGAGGUUACAAGUCCAUCUAUAGAGACCUACAUUUUUCCAUUGUCCACCAUACACAAGUUAGGAAGAAUUUUGAGGCAGAUGGCUCUGUAGCCAGUCUCCGUGGAUGUGGAUUCAUCAGAAAAUUGUUCAAGCAUUGCAGAGGAAGAUUGGGAAACCCAACUGCUGAAAAGAAAGCCCAACAUAAGUUUACCAAAAUUCUUUUGGAAGAAUGUUUGGUAAACUUUUUGAAACAUACACAAUCCCUUUGAGUCAAAAAUGUUUCUGGGUUGCUUUGCUUCCUCUUAAACAGUGUGCCCUGUGACUUCUGAAAUAAGGCAUUUUUAAACAUAAUGUUAAAAGCUGGAUCUCCAUCACAGAUCAUGAGUCUUCUAGCUCAAGCACAAUUAAAAAAGCAGCCAAGUAGUGUUAAAGAAAAAAGGCUAAGACUGUAUUGAAGUGCCACCUGCAAGGGCAAAUCUAAAUCCCAUGAAGAGCUCUGCAAACUGCAGUUGGGAAUUCCUGUAAAAAGGAAUCCUGGCUAUAUCUCCUUCAAACUUGAAUUUGCCUAUAUUUUUGGCCACGAUUGUACCAGCAAUAAUAGUGCAGAGCAACUGUGUUAUAUUUUCAUACGCUGCAAUUAUCAGUCUUCCUGCACUUAAAAUUAUUUCAUACAGACUCUGCAAUUCUCA